This 759-nucleotide ribosomal RNA is filed under the name uncultured bacterium. Its description in RNAcentral is "bacterial SSU rRNA". It matches the Rfam family "Bacterial small subunit ribosomal RNA", at positions 9 to 755 of the family's 1533-position model. The record is from RNAcentral.
GAGUUUGAUCCUGGCUCAAGAUGAACGCUGGCGGCGUGCUUAACACAUGCAAGUCGAACGGAGAUAUCAUUUUCGAAGCGAUUAGUUUACUAAGAGUGGAGAUGUUGGUAUCUUAGUGGCGGACGGGUGAGUAACGCGUGGGUAACCUGCCUUACACUGGGGGAUAACACUUAGAAAUAGGUGCUAAUACCGCAUAACAGGAGAAGAUGCAUGUCUUUUCCUUAAAAACUCCGGUGGUGUAAGAUGGACCCGCGUCUGAUUAGCUGGUUGGCGGGGUAACGGCCCACCAAGGCGACGAUCAGUAGCCGGCCUGAGAGGGUGAACGGCCACAUUGGGACUGAGACACGGCCCAAACUCCUACGGGAGGCAGCAGUGGGGAAUAUUGGACAAUGGGGGGAACCCUGAUCCAGCGACGCCGCGUGAGUGAAGAAGUAUUUCGGUAUGUAAAGCUCUAUCAGCAGGGAAGAAAGAAAUGACGGUACCUGACUAAGAAGCCCCGGCUAACUACGUGCCAGCAGCCGCGGUAAUACGUAGGGGGCAAGCGUUAUCCGGAUUUACUGGGUGUAAAGGGAGCGUANACNGCGAUGCAAGUCUGAAGUGGAAGGCGGGGGCCCAACCCCCGGACUGCUUUGGAAACUGUAUAGCUGGAGUGCANGANANGUAAGUGGAAUUCCUAGUGUAGCGGUGAAAUGCGUAAAUAUUAGGAGGAACACCAGUGGCGAAAGCGGCUUACUGGACUGUUACUGACGUUGAAGGUCC